UGCGUAGGUGGCGCCGUCAGUGGGGUGUGAAAUUCCGGAGCUUAACUCCGAAACUGCAUUCCAUACUGCGGUGCUUGAGGACUGGAGAGGAGACUGGAAUUCAUGGUGUAGCAGUGAAAUGCGUAGAGAUCAUGAGGAAGACCAGUGGCGAAGGCGGGUCUCUGGACAGUUCCUGACACUGAGGCACGAAGGCUAGGGGAGCGAACG
Molecule: ribosomal RNA, 207 nt
Filed under: uncultured bacterium
Lineage: Bacteria
Description: partial 16S ribosomal RNA
Rfam family: Bacterial small subunit ribosomal RNA
Source: RNAcentral